RNAcentral lists this transfer RNA (85 nucleotides) under Felis catus (domestic cat). It matches the Rfam family "tRNA". From Rfam's summary of the family: Transfer RNA (tRNA) molecules are approximately 80 nucleotides in length. Their secondary structure includes four short double-helical elements and three loops (D, anti-codon, and T loops). The record is from Rfam by way of RNAcentral. RNAcentral also lists the same sequence under 2 other names. Lineage: Eukaryota; Metazoa; Chordata; Mammalia; Carnivora; Felidae.
GCCUGGGUGGCUCAGUCGGUUGAGUGUCUGACUUUGGCUCAGGUCAUGGUCUCAUGGCUCGUGAGUUCGAGCCCCACAUCGGGCU